UCCCUCGCGAGGGGGAAUCUGAAGGAAGCCCGAAGCAAAACACUGGCUCGACGGGGCGCCUAGCCGAACAGGAAGCUGAUACGAGGAGCGCUUGCUGCGUCUGAUCCGCCGCUACCUGGAAGCGGGCUUGUUCCAGCACGGCUUACCAAUGUUGAGAAGGUAGGGGGC
Molecule: non-coding RNA, 168 nt
Filed under: Vreelandella titanicae
Lineage: Bacteria; Pseudomonadati; Pseudomonadota; Gammaproteobacteria; Oceanospirillales; Halomonadaceae
Also listed under: 6 other names
Source: RNAcentral